Molecule: ribosomal RNA, 460 nt
Filed under: uncultured bacterium
Lineage: Bacteria
Description: partial 16S ribosomal RNA
Rfam family: Bacterial small subunit ribosomal RNA
Source: RNAcentral
CCUACGGGAGGCAGCAGUGAGGAAUAUUGGUCAAUGGGCGCGAGCCUGAACCAGCCAAGUCGCGUGAAGGAUGACUGCCCUACGGGUUGUAAACUUCUUUUAUAAAGGAGUAAAGUGAGGCACGUGUGCCUUUCUGUAUGUACUGUAUGAAUAAGGAUCGGCUAACUCCGUGCCAGCAGCCGCGGUAAUACGGAGGAUCCGAGCGUUAUCCGGAUUUAUUGGGUUUAAAGGGAGCGUAGGUGGGUGGUUAAGUCAGUUGUGAAAGUUUGCGGCUCAACCGUAAAAUUGCAAUUGAUACUGGCAGGCUUGAGAACAGUUGAGGUAGGCGGAAUGUGUGGUGUAGCGGUGAAAUGCUUAGAGAUCACGCAGAACUCCGAUUGCGAAGGCAGCUUACUAAGCUGCUACUGACAUUGAGGCUCGAAAGUGUGGGUAGCAAACAGGAUUAGAUACCCCGGUAGUC